RNAcentral lists this non-coding RNA (29 nucleotides) under Mus musculus (house mouse). Lineage: Eukaryota; Metazoa; Chordata; Mammalia; Rodentia; Muridae. The record is from RNAcentral.
UACCUUUGUGUCCAAGGGAUAGGCCCAGA